This 22-nucleotide small nuclear RNA is filed under the name Arabidopsis thaliana (thale cress). RNAcentral's name for it is "snRNA_07684". The record is from RNAcentral. Lineage: Eukaryota; Viridiplantae; Streptophyta; Magnoliopsida; Brassicales; Brassicaceae.
GAUUCGAAAUAACUCUCUUUCU